GUCGGCUGCCCUCGCCGCCGCCCCCUGGGCCGGGAUCACGGCGGCGGCGGCGGCUCCUCCUCCCGCUGCCGCCACUGCGCGCUCAGAAGUUCCAUAUGGGAUUCUUCAAGUAACAUCUGCAUUAUGUAUACCGUUACAAAAUUUACAGCACUAUUCUAAAAAAUUAUGUAACCACACUCUAAUAUAUGAACAAGAAGACACUUGCAGGAACUCAAAUCUCUGGUUUAGAGAGAGAAGAAACUCAUCCUUGCUGUACUGAGCUAUACAGAAUCAAUGGGAAGCAGUGAAUAUUGGCUAAAUGACACAUUGUGCAAUGUAUUGUUUUUUCCUGGUUUGUUGAAUAAUUCUUAAUACCUGAAUUCAGGAACCCCAAGGGUUCCUAACCCUAAGGCAUAAACUUUGGUUUUACUACUAACAGUGAAGGGUUUAUACAAUAUGGUAUAACUCAAAACCAAACAAACCUCAUGAUGCAAGGAUA
This is a long non-coding RNA of Thamnophis elegans (Western terrestrial garter snake), 478 nucleotides long. RefSeq lists it as uncharacterized. The record is from RefSeq and is a predicted model, not a curated record. NCBI's taxonomy places the organism in Eukaryota, Metazoa, Chordata, Lepidosauria, Squamata, Natricidae. The transcript is spliced from 3 exons.